AGCAGAGCUUGCUCUGUGGGUGGCGAGUGGCGACGGGUGAGUAAUGCAUCGGGACCUACCCAGACGUGGGGGAUAACGUAGGGAAACUUACGCUAAUACCGCAUACGUCCUACGGGAGAAAGCGGGGGAUCGCAAGACCUCGCGCGGUUGGAUGGACCGAUGUGCGAUUAGCUUGUUGGUGAGGUAACGGCUCACCAAGGCGACGAUCGCUAGCUGGUCUGAGAGGAUGAUCAGCCACACUGGGACUGAGACACGGCCCAGACUCC
RNAcentral lists this ribosomal RNA (266 nucleotides) under uncultured Dyella sp. Its description in RNAcentral is "partial 16S ribosomal RNA". It matches the Rfam family "Bacterial small subunit ribosomal RNA", at positions 72 to 339 of the family's 1533-position model. Lineage: Bacteria; Pseudomonadati; Pseudomonadota; Gammaproteobacteria; Lysobacterales; Rhodanobacteraceae. The record is from RNAcentral.